RNAcentral lists this small RNA (482 nucleotides) under Pan troglodytes (chimpanzee). RNAcentral's name for it is "retained intron". Lineage: Eukaryota; Metazoa; Chordata; Mammalia; Primates; Hominidae. The record is from RNAcentral.
GUACCCUAUGAACCUGACUCUGUGGUCAUGGCAGAAGCUCCUCCUGGGGUAGAGACAGAUCUUAUUGAUGUUGGAUUCACAGAUGACGUGAAGAAAGGAGGCCCUGGAAGAGGGGGUGGUGGCUUCACAGCACCAGUUGGUGGACCUGAUGGAACGGUGCCAAUGCCCAUGCCCAUGCCUAUGCCAUCUGCAAAUACGCCUUUCUCAUAUCCACUGCCAAAGGGACCAGUAAGUAUACAUAAGUGUGGAUGUAAGCUUUAGAAAAUGUUAUAGAUAACAAGUUGGCUCUGUGAACACACUCAGGAAUCAUAGGUUGUCAGGAGCCAUUAGCAGUAAGAACAUUUGGUAUUAGCUGGCAGUCAUCUUGUGGGGAAAAAACACAUUGGAUUCAGAGAAGGUCUUUUAGUUCAGCUGUAGGAAAAUCUAUAGAGUUGGUGCUAGAAAAACACUUUUCAUAUAGGUUUACUGAAUAUCUUUGGGAU